GAUGAAGAACGUAGCGAAAUGCGAUACGUAAUGUGAAUUGCAGAAUUCAGUGAAUCAUCGAAUCUUUGAACGCAUAUUGCGCUCUCUGGUAUUCCGGAGAGCAUGCUUGUUUGAGUAUCAGUAAACACCUCAACUUCCAUAACUUUUUUGAAAUGGGAGUUGGACUUGAGUGAUCCCAACGCUUUUCCUCACCGAAAAGUGGCGGGUUACUUGAAAUGCAGGUGCAGCUGGACUUUUCUCUGAGCUAUAAGCAUAUCUAUUUAGUCUGCCUAAAAACAGAUUAUUACCUUUGCUGCAGCUAACAUAAAGGAGAUUAGUUCUUGUGCUGACUGAUGCAGGAUUCACAAAGACAGGCUUCGGCCGACUUUGUAAACUCGAUCUCAAAUCAAGUAAGACUACCCGCUGAACUUAAGCAUAUCAAUAAGCGGAGGA
This 432-nucleotide unclassified non-coding RNA is filed under the name soil metagenome. RNAcentral's name for it is "partial contains 5.8S ribosomal RNA, internal transcribed spacer 2, and large subunit ribosomal RNA". The stretch from base 1 to 120 matches the Rfam family "5.8S ribosomal RNA", at positions 35 to 154 of the family's 154-position model. The record is from RNAcentral.